Molecule: ribosomal RNA, 400 nt
Filed under: phytoplankton environmental sample
Lineage: Eukaryota
Description: partial small subunit ribosomal RNA
Rfam family: Eukaryotic small subunit ribosomal RNA
Source: RNAcentral
AGCUCCAAUAGCGUAUAUUAAAGUUGUUGCAGUUAAAAAGCUCGUAGUUGGAUUUCGGACUGGGAGAGGACGGUCUGCCGCGAGGUGUGUUACUGUCUUCUCCUGUCUUCUUCUCAGAGGCCUGCGGUGCAAUUAGUUUUGUGCCGUUUGGAAUUUGAGACGUUUACUUUGAAAAAAUUAGAGUGUUCAAAGCAGGCAUUACGCGCCCGAAUACAUGAGCAUGGAAUAAUGGAAUAGGACUUUGGUCUCCUUUGUUGGUUUGAGGGACUAGAGUAAUGAUUAAUAGGGACAGUUGGGGGCAUUAGUAUUUAAUUGUCAGAGGUGAAAUUCUCGGAUUUGUUAAAGACUAACUUAUGCGAAAGCAUUUGCCAAGGAUGUUUUCAUUAAUCAAGAACGAAAG